GAACAACUUUAUAUGAUAAUGGAUUGUUUUAAAAAUAUAGUGAUGAGAUUUUGGAGUAGAUUAAAUGGAGCUAAUAAAAAGGACUCAAAUUCGAAUAGUAAUAAAAAUAAUAAUAAAAAGAUUAAUAGUAAUAGUAAUAAUUAUUAUAAUAAUAGUAAUAAUAAUUAUUAUUAUAAUAAUUGUAAUAAUAAUAAUAAGUAUACGAUUUAUGAAAAUUGUAACGUAAAUAAUACCAGAAAUCUGGGUUUCUAUAAUACAUGCACAAUCUUUUUAUUAUUAUUAUUAUUAUUAAUUCUAAUAUGUAAUACUUUUUUCUUUUACUUUUAAAAAUUAUUCAAAUUUAUUAAUUAAACACUGCUAUCUUUCUUUUGCUAUUAAUAAAAAAUGAAAUUGAACCUAAAAUUCUACCAAAAAAAAAAAAAAAAAAAAAUAAUAAUAAUAAUAAUUUGACUGUGAUGAAAGGCUCUAAACUACAGGGAUGUGCAAAGUCGGUCCUGUCGUGUCUUGCGGAUUUUAGCUUUAACUCUAAUCAAAACAGCAUGUCAGUUUCAAGUAAUGCUAACUUGGACCUAAAAUCUAAAGCAGGACACGCAGGACCGACGUUGCCCAUCCCUGUGAAUGACAAUUCAGCUCACCACUGUAUUUGCAAAACUGUCCAUUCCCCGGCAGUUAAAGAGAGAGAGUACCUCACCCAAACAACAUCUUAUGUACUGUACUGAACAUGUGUUGGUCUAGAGAAGAUGUUUCAAAGUGAGUUGCAGAAGUGAUUUUGAAACGCAUCUUGGACAAAAACAUCAGAUCUUUAAGGAAAUUUGUACCCUCUGCAACUUCCUCUCAACAUCAUCUGAAACAUCCUUUAUCUAUACAGCAAGCAUUAUGGAUCAAGCCCUCAGUGCAGUCAAGACUCUCUCUCCAUAAAAUAGAAAAACUUGUUUUUUGUUUUUUUGAGAAUAUUGUUUUCAUUAAAAAGCAAAGAAACAAUG
Long non-coding RNA from Triplophysa dalaica, 983 nucleotides. RefSeq lists it as uncharacterized. The transcript is spliced from 4 exons. NCBI's taxonomy places the organism in Eukaryota, Metazoa, Chordata, Actinopteri, Cypriniformes, Nemacheilidae. The record is from RefSeq and is a predicted model, not a curated record.